Cucurbita moschata (crookneck pumpkin) is the source of this 1660-nucleotide RNA transcript. It is a transcript of the gene named probable nucleoside diphosphate kinase 5, with no coding region annotated. The record is from RefSeq and is a predicted model, not a curated record. The transcript has 3 exons. Lineage: Eukaryota; Viridiplantae; Streptophyta; Magnoliopsida; Cucurbitales; Cucurbitaceae.
AACCCAUGAUCAUUUCCUUAGUUAGCUAUUGUCGGACUCCCUCCCAACAAUUAUCGACUGUUUUGUGGUACUGUCGUAUCAAUAGUGAUGUUGUACCUCAAAGUAUCUUUAUUAUUGCUUCUUUAUGCUUGCAUUUGAACUGCUUUCCUUGUUUAAUUUUCUAGCAAGCGGUGGAUAUCAUCUUCACUCAUGAUUAAUGCAGCAAUCACAUGAACAGCUGUUGCACUCGAAACAACAAUUUGAAAAUGCUGAUAUUGAGAUUACGAAUUCAUGCAACGACUAUUUAUCUUACUUUCUUUUCAAGUAAUUUCAGUCAAAACAUUAGCAACAUAGUGAAGUUUAUGAUACGUAUCUCAAGCUUAAGAGAUGUUCGUUAGUGUGCUUCUCCACCUCAAGCCAUACCUAAUAGUUUAACUUAGUUGAAAUGUGGAUCUUUGAAUAGCAGAGGACAUUAAAAAUAAUCUGGUGGAUUUUUAAUCUGAUUUUUUAUGUAAAGGUUUUAAACUAACAUGGAAUCUCUCUAGAAUCGUGCAAUCCUGUAUUUCAGUUGGGUGUCCUUCCUAUGUCUAACACUAAUCGUGCGAUCCUGCAUUAUGGUUUUGGAGAAACAAAAAUCCAAUCGCAGAUUGGCGUGCUAUGAUUGGGCCAACAGAUGCAUCUAAAGCUAAGGCUACACAUCCCAACAGCAUUACAGCAAUGUGUGGCUUGGAUCAGAGAAAAAUUUGUGUUCAUGGUUCAGAUUCUCUUCAAUCAGCAAAAAGAGAGAUCAUUUUUCUUUGAUGAGGAAAUUGAGAGCAAUGGAGAAUGGUAGAAGGUAAAAUCUCUGAAAACCCGAGGAAAGCAUAACAAAGAAAGAAAAGAAUUGUGCUAAGAAGUUCCAUCUUAAGUACAAUAGGUGCAACCUUGGACCUGGGCAUCUGGCUUUCUUACUUCCAGACCCCCUUUUAAGCAUCCAAUACCGUUUAAGAUCUUUUACUCAGCUAGGGAUGACACUUUUCUAGAUUGGCAUUCCCGAGUGCAUUUUGAUGAAUAUGCAAAGGUGUAAAUGUAAAUGUAAACGUAUAAGAGAAUCUUUAAUUGAAAGGCGUGAGUCCAUUUUACCCCGUUGUAAAUUGUAAUCCGACCUAAAUAUGUAUAGCAUGUACAUAUGACAUCCUUAUCAUGCCAUAUUUGUCCUAUCGACCUAGAUGUCUAUUUACAUAUCUUAAUAUGUAGAUCUAUGUACUCCACAUUUGUUUGAUCUGAAUAAAUGUGGUGUACAUAUGUGCGCCCCUUCAGACCUUAAAAACAUUGAUCUUAAGUAACCUUUCACACUUUGUUUGCUCCAAUGUAAACUGUAAAGUAUGGGCCUAUAGCAUCCUUUCCGUGCCCCCUUUGUCCCGUUGCCAUAAGACUGAAGAUUGAUUGGUUUUACUUGUUAGCGGAUUCAUGUAGGAAAGUGAGAUUGUAGUUUUGUAACCCAUGACUGCUACACUUUCAGAUUUACGUAUAUAUAAUUUUGGAUAUUUAGGUUAGCUUUAUAGAUUGCGAGUAUCCCAUAAAACAAUUAAUUUGAUCCUAUAGCAUGUUUAUGGUCGGAGAUUUAAUAUCUUAGAUGAUAUCCUUGUAACAGCCCAAGCCCACCGCUAGCCGAUAUUGUCCUUUUUUAGCUUUUCCUUUC